Cyanistes caeruleus (blue tit) is the source of this 3453-nucleotide non-coding RNA. NCBI's taxonomy places the organism in Eukaryota, Metazoa, Chordata, Aves, Passeriformes, Paridae. The record is from RefSeq and is a predicted model, not a curated record.
AGGGAAAUUAAAUGCAUUUCCUAACAUACUGUAGUAUCUGUAGUUCUUGACAUUUCCAGCAAUUUCUUACAAAGACUAGAUAUUGUCUUGGGGCAGAAAAUGGUCUAGAUUGUCUUGAGUGCUUUCAAGUCCUAAGACUUCAUGAAAAUAGUUUCAUUUACUUACUGAUGUUAUUGGUUAACAUUUGGUUUCAAUCUUGUGUGAUUUUUAUUAGAAAAGCUGUUUCAUAUGAGAUGUUUGAACCUUAGAUGAAUCAAGAAGAUAUCUUGAGGAUAUCUUGGGGAAAGGAACACCUGUACUAAUGAUGAGUUAUAAGCAAAUCAGCUCACCAGAAAAAUGUUGACCAUGGUGGUGUCUCUCUAGAAGAGAAUUCUCCUUCUAAAGACAACCUGAGAUGUGUCAGAUGCUGAUAAUUGGUGGUGGCGUUGCUGGGCUGACUGCAGCAGUAGCUGCCAAAGCAAUGGGAAUUGCUGUCAGAAGAUUUGAUGCCAGGGUGUGGUGAACACUGGUUACAAGGACUUGCCAAGAAGAAGGGCUACUCAAGCCAGUAGCCUUUUUCCAGCAACAUCUUGAAAUUAUUAAAGCUGUUUCUCCUGAGAGAGAAUAUUUUCACUUUGAACAAAAGGACGAUUUAGAUUAUAGGGCUAUUGAUUGUGUCAUUAGAGGAAUUUGAGUAAUAAAGGUAGCAUUAAUCCAAAGUACAGUCAUGCAAAACAUUUACAUAUUGGCAGACUGGAAUUACUUUUCAGCUAAGGAAGUGUUUGUAAAGAGAAGCAUAUUCAUCUAAGCUUUUAAGGAACACAGUCUAGGAUUUAGCUCAGCUGUGUGCUGUGCAAGAGAGAUGGCAAGACUGUCUAAUCAGAACACUUCUGGGCUGGGAAUGCCCCUCGUAUGACUGAGGUGUCAAAGCUUCAGGAGCAAGCAGUAGUGGAAGCACAGAAAUCUUCAGCAGAAGUUCUGGGCAUGGCUCUGGGUGACACAAUGGGCAUAUGCACUUCUUGUAAGGCUUGAUCUUUGCCAAAUACCACUUCUGGGUGGAUAUGGCACAGCAUCUACAGCAGGAAAGAAACCUAUGGAAAUUGUUGCAACUUGCACUGAAGCUGGAUUAGACCAAGUUAUUGAAGAGAUAAAGGAGUCUGAUUCUAUCAUUACCCUGGACUUGGCUCUGGUCACUGGUACAAAUGACACCGUAAACUCAGCAGCACAGGAAGAUCCCAAUUUUGUUAUCAGUAUCAUGCCAAUACUGGAACUCUGAAAAACAAAACAAGCUGCUUCAGGAUGGAUUUUAAACCAGAUUCCCAGAAAAAGUAAGGGAAGCACAGUGCACAGGAUCAGAGAAGGAGCCAGACUCAGUCCGGGGUAUGUUGGUGGAGCACAUUCUCUUCUGUUCACUCUUCUGUGUUGGACCUGAAGACUAUGUGGAAAACCAGAUGGACUCAAAAAUUGCAAGAAGCAGUAGCAAAGGAAUUAAAUCAGGUAACAUUACAAGUGCUUUGGGAGGUUUGCUGUAGAUUCCAAGUUGGCAUCUCUUUUCAGUAUCAAUGUAUCUUUACCCCAUGCACUGACAUGACCCUUUAUUCAACCUUGGCUUGGAUGACAUUUCUGCUACCUUCCAGGAAAGGAAUUGUUUUUUGCAGUAGCUCCCUCUCUUAUUCAUUUUGAGAAAAGGAUUAAAUACUCCCUCUGACCAAGCUUACAGGCAUGCUAAAGUGAAGCCUCUUCAUGCUCCUGGCCAAACAAAGAACAAAAAUACCCACAAUAAGCAAAAGCAGAUGGCUUCAGUGGCAGGAAAUGAAUGAGCCAGACUGCAGGUAAAAUGGUUCUCUGAACACAUCGCGGAGGUUUGCACUGACAGGUUCUUUGUUAUCUGGGGCCUCCCCACAGGAGGCCAGAUGUCUUCUGUUGUGAGAGGAGAUAGAGAUGCUCUUCCUUUUCCUCCCCCUUUAACUUAUGGCUGUUUAAGUUACUGCUAAUGGAAGCAGAAGCCUGUUUUUCCCUCUUGGUCUCUGAUGUUUUUGGAAACAGAAGAGAUAGUGAAGGGGUAUUCUGAUACGAAAGAAAAGGCCCAGAACUGGCCUUUACCUCCCCAUGACCCUCAAUUUAAAGAACAGGGAGGUCAGUGCUGCUAAUUGCACUUGAAAGGAUUAACCACUUGAUUGCUUUCAUUUAGUGGAACAAAAUUUUUCUUCAGUCUCAAAGCUGGGGAAAUGUAUCAGUGGUACUGAGAUGCUUUCAGUGUGAAAUGGAUGACUUUGUUUGGCUUAUACCAAUAUCAAAAUUAAAUAGAGGAUGUAAAUAUUUUUAUAUAUAUUAGAGAAGGGGCAAUUACAUCUCCUGCUCAGACAGGACAGAUUUGCAGCAGAAGUGACAAAAACCUCCUUCCUGCCCCCAUAAAAGGUUAUCAGAGGAAUUGCAACAGACCGUAACCAAUUACAGAUAUUAGGUGUGCCUCUGUCCCUUGGUAUAACAAAUUACUCUUGCAUUACACUGAGGUUGCACUGGAAGAAAAAGAAUCUGAACUCAAUUCCUGGACACAGUGUGCCAGAUUUAAAAUCCUUUCUGUACAUUAAUUUCAUCUUAGAGUUAAAACUAAUUUUCUUUUGGAAAAGGUUCUUAAUUCCCAUUGUUCAAAUAAAGUGAGGAAUACAAAACUUAAAUUUGGAAACAAUUUUUCACCUUAUGAAACUAUUUUCCAAAAGUAACAAAGAACAGCUUAUACAAGCUUUUAUCUGACCUCUGCUUCUUAAAUAAAAAACAUGUUUUCAGGGAAAUGUGUCUUGGAAAUAACUUCUCCUCUCCCCCCAGAUUUUUCUCUCUGGUUCUUGUAAAACAUUAGGUCAGUGGGUUCAUUUUAUUUUUGUUUGUUUAAAGUGGGUGAAAGUUUCCUUCUCAAGAUAUUAUACUUGUGUGAUUUAAAAAAAAUAAUUACAAAAAUCAUUGUUUAAGAAAUACCAGGACAGAUGGAAAUGUCAAAAGACUAUCAAAAUUCAUACCAAAGGAAAUAACAUUAAUAAUUUAAAAAAGCCAAAAUAACCUCUCAAUAACAAUAAGAACCAAAUGAAUAGGCAGUGUUGUUUCAAUAGCACUGAGACAUGACUGCUGAUUUUUCUCACUGCUUGGCACAUGAACUCAAUAUGUAGGUAGAUAGAAAAAUUAUCUCUCAUUCUGACUUCAAGCCUGUGUUUCCUGUGGUGCUGUUAUAGUUCAUGCACAUUUCAUGUGCACUUCACAUAACAUAAUCAGCAUUUUGUUCUGCAAAUGGGGAUAUAUUUAUGUUGUUCACUGAAAUGCACUUUUAUAUGCACUUGUGCAGAUGAGCAUACAAAUAUGAAGUAUGAUGUAAGAGAGUAUUCGUAUCUAGUGUUUGAAGCAAUACUAAGAUUUCAGUAUCUUGAAGCAUUAAAAAUGCAGUAUACAAACCAGCUGUUUGAGCCUGGAUGGAUUGCUGUGUAA